Molecule: ribosomal RNA, 450 nt
Filed under: uncultured bacterium
Lineage: Bacteria
Description: SSU rRNA
Rfam family: Bacterial small subunit ribosomal RNA
Source: RNAcentral
AGAGCGAACGCUGGGGCGGCAGGCCUAACACAUGCAAGUCGAGCGCCCGUAGCAAUACGGGAGCGGCAGACGGGAUAGUAACACGUGGGAACGCGCCCUUCGGUUCGGAAUAACUCAGGGAAACUUGAGCUAAUACCGGAUACGCCCUUACGGGGAAAGAUUUAUUGCCGAAGGAACGGCCCGCGUCCGAUUAGCUAGUUGGUGAGGUAAUGGCUCACCAAGGCGACGAUCGGUAGCUGGUCUGAGAGGAUGACCAGCAUCACUGGGACUGAGACACGGCCCAGACUCCUACGGGAGGCAGCAGUGGGGAAUAUUGGACAAUGGGCGCAAGCCUGAUCCAGCCAUGCCGCGUGGAUGAUGAAGGCCUUAGGGUUGUAAAGUCCUUUUAACGGGGAAGAUAAUGACGGUACCCGUAGAAUAAGCCCCGGCUAACUUCGUGCCAGCAGCCGC